ACACACACUACAGUGUAUCUACACACCACACACUAAACUGUAUCUACACUACACACAGUACACUGUAUUUAUACUACAAAGUAUCUACACUACAUACAUAGACUACACUUUAUUCACUCUACACUGUAUCUACACUACACUGUGUUUACACUACAGUGUAUCUACACUACACUUUACAUACACUACGCUGUGUUUACACUGUGUUUUCUCUACAUUACACUCUACACUACAAUGUAUCUACACUGCACUGUUUACUCUAUACUGUAUCUACACUACACUGUGUUUACACUACAGUGUAUCUACACUACACUUUACAUACACUACGCUGUGUUUACACUGUGUUUUCUCUACAUUACACUCUACACUACAAUGUAUCUACACUGCACUGUUUACACUUAUACUGUAUCUACACUACACUGUGUUUACACUACAGUGUAACUACACUACACUUUACAUACACUCUGCUAUGUUUACACUGUGUUUUCUCUACAUUACACUCUACACUACAAUGUAUCUACCCUACACUGCAUUUACACUAAAAUGUAUUUACACUACACUUUACAUACACUAGACUUUAUUUAGACUACACUGUGUUACUACAUUUUACUUACACUACACUUUACAUACACUACACUGUUUACACACCACUGUAUCACUACAUGGAAUGAUGGAAAGAGAAUGCGAUCGCUUACAAUAAAAUCAACACAAAGGAAAAAGAUGUUUUACAUAGACUACACUGUAUUUACACAACAUUACACAACAGUGAACUUGGACUACACAGCACUUUACAUAGACUACACUGUAUUUGCACAACAGUGUACUUGGACUACACAACACUUUACAUAGACUACACUGUAUUUACACGACACACCAGUGUGCUUAGACUCGACUACACAACAGUGUACAUGUACUACACACCACUACAUAGACUAUACUGUAUUUACACAACAGUGUACUUGGACUACACAACACUUUACAUAGACUACAUUGUAUUUACACGACACACCAGUGUGCUUAGACUCAAAUGUGUACUUGGACUACACAUCAUUUACAUAGACUACACUGUAUUUACAAUACACAACAGUGUACUUGGACUACACAACAUAGACUGCAUGACAUGCUACUUGGACUACACUGUAUUUACACAACAGUGUAUGGGGACUACACUACACAACACAACAGUGUACGGGGACUACACUACAUAGACUACACUGUAUUUCCACUACACUACAGUGUACUUGGACUACACAACAUAGACAAUUAGACAACAUAGACUGCAUAACACUCUACUUGGACUACAAUGUAUUUACACUACACAGCAUAACAUUUAUACUACACAGGAAGCCACUUUAUACCUAAAUUACUGUAGCACCACAACACUUCUGUAACAAUACAAUUACACUACACGAGUCCACCACGGUUACUUAAGCCAAGCUUCGUUUAACUUCUGAGCUGUCAUGUCGUCCGUGUUGGGAUUGUUGACUUUGCUGCAUUAUUUAGCAAAAGUGGAUAUUUUACCUAAACUGCAUGAAUAGUAGGACUGACGGUUAACAUUUCGGUUCUGCAGCUUCACCUGUUGACUCCAUGCAACAUGUUACACACGUUUUGUCUCGCGUGUUUUGUGGACUAGUUUGGCUCCUGUAGUGUUAUUAGAAUAAAAACAGAAACAUGCUUCACUGGCUUCUUGCAAUUGUCAGUGUGUUCUUGCUGCAGAACACACUUCAGUCGAGUGUGUUUCAGACGAGGUGAGACUUGCCGGGUUGAAAGUGUGUCGGCGGUGCAGGGAGGUUUGGCUGCACCUGCCAUGUGGUAGCUUAGAGUGUAGUAUAAUUACCCUUCAGUACACAACAUGCAGUGUCUCUGCCCUGUGCUCGUGUGACUCUUUCACUGACGUGUCUUGAAAAAACGAUGGAAAGAGAAUGCGAUCGCUUACAAUAAAAUCAACACAAAGGAAAAAGAUGUUUCAUCUUAUCCUCUACUUAUUCUAAUGUGCCUAAGUGAUUGCUCUGCUGUUGUGUAUGUUUAAUCGGGUCAGACCUAAACCAGAGAACACCGAUGUGCUUUCGACUUGUUUUCAAUUUAAACCCAAGAAUUUAUCGGAAUAUAGAUCAGAGUAAAUAAUAGAAAUCAGGAAACAUCUUGUGCAUGCUGAGAAUUAAAACGAGACCCAUGGACAAACUCCAGGCUGCUAUAAUGAAGCAAGUGCACAUCAUUCAUGCUAAAAUAAAAAAAACAAACACUCUGUGGCCAAUCACUCUGUGUCUAAUAAUUGAGCAUAGGGGUGUGUAUACUGUGUGUAUGUUGCCGAGAUUCUGAAGUUAUCCACCUGUUACGAGGAUGAAGGGUGCUGAACAGUAGAGGAAGACAACAUUAAUAUUUUUUUUAUUUGCUUUUUUUUAUGAAGUAAUUCUUUAGAAAUGAGCCUCUGCUUUAUUAGUCUGUGUGAAGCGUGUUGCUUUCUCCUCGGUCUGCGCAAUAACUCUGUGCAGUCUUUUAGGAGAGAAUUGUAUUACGGAUACAUGACCGUGAUUUGAUUUUCAGUGUAUUUUUCCCGAGCAUUUUGGUUACGUUUUGUGAUGCUAGUUGGUCUUAAAGCUGCAUUGCUUCUGCUUUUGUUGUAUUCAUUGUUUUUCAUGUAUUGAUGCAUAUUAAUGACAAAGUCACACUGUUUUAUGCUGUAGUUCUUUUUCCCCCAUCUUUGUUUUUGUGGUUCAUCUAAUAUGAGAUGCAUGUGGGCUUUAUUUUUUUAUUUUUUUGUGAAUUUGUAUUUUGUCUUCUGGUAUAUUUUUAAAAGUGGGCUUGGUUAAGGAUCAGGGUUAUAACCCAGUAACUGUCUGUGUUAGUGUAAGCAGGUUCUUAUAGUGGAUCCACAUGUUGCUGGCUUUAAUUUGGAGUAUAGGGCUUUCUAUCUGCCUCGUUCAAUAGCUGACCUCAACUCGGAGGGCUUUGGGAUUAACCCCGUGAACCUGCAUCUGGCACAAAUGAACUGCAUGGAAAAUUUAUAUUUGGUGAAUUUUACUGUGUUUUCAGAAGACAAUCUUAAUUCCUAAGUGCUCAUCAGUAUCACAUGCUUUAGUUUUAGUAAAAGGCAAAAGCCACACCGUGGCCAUGCCACCUGAUUCCAGUAGAGGGUGGUGUGUGAGCUGUGUUUACUGUUGAUUUAAGUGAUUUGUAAGUUGAUUUGAAAGAUGGGAUGUGUCUAAUAACCGCAUCAUGUUCCGAGAGGAAAUCAGAUCAACAAGAGUCAUUUCAACCCAAUGGAAGGCUUGGGCUUUGUGAUGGAACGAAAACAUCCGAGGAGCUUGAAUUAUAUCAGUGUUCAGUCAGUGUAUGAGGGAUUACCAUAGCUGAACAUAUGAGGGGAAACCUCGUUCAGGAGACUGCCUCGGAAUUCCUUCGGCGGUCUGGUUGCUCUUAACACGGAGCACUGUUGCCAGAGUCAAAUGAGGUAAAGAAUUCAGAUCAGGUGGAGCCUAAACCCUAAACCUCAUGUGACUAAAACUUUUGCUAUGAAAGGAAGCUGUGUUGGAGUUGAAACGGCACAUGUGCAUAAGGACCGUACCCCAGAGAGCAGACGAAGCAUGUUAUUGGGGGGGGGAGUGUGUCGGGGUUGGGAGGAACGGCGCAUGAAUGUGAGCAAUGGUGUUGUUUUUUGAGCGAUUAAUCGUUUGUACGAAUCUCCCUGAACAGUCUAGCGGUGCUGGCAGGUGCUGCUGAGAAGUGCACUCCAAAUAAACCACACGUUUGCACCAUUUGCUGAUCAUGUCAAAAAAAGUUCUAGAUGCAAAUGCGCAAGCCUCGCUUCCCAUUUAGAUCCUAAAGGAACACUUCAUCCUUUCCCGUUCACGUAGGGAUGUGUUCAAACACAAGGCUUGAUGAGGGUAAUAGUCUGCAUUAACAGCUGGGCUCAGGGACUCCUGAAUGACUGGCUGAGAAUAUCGUGUUCUCUCUCUCUCUCUUCCUCCCUUCCCUAACUAUACUUGUGCCUCUAAGGUGAAUGCUGCAAUACACAACAAAGCACAUGCACUUGGGUAACAGUUUUGUGUUUUACCUAUGAAUGAUGU
Long non-coding RNA from Tachysurus fulvidraco (yellow catfish), 4064 nucleotides. RefSeq lists it as uncharacterized. The transcript has 3 exons. The record is from RefSeq and is a predicted model, not a curated record. Lineage: Eukaryota; Metazoa; Chordata; Actinopteri; Siluriformes; Bagridae.